AAUGGGGGAAACCCUGACGCAGCAACGCCGCGUGAGUGACGAAGGCCUUCGGGUUGUAAAGCUCUUUUAGCUGGGAAAAAACAAAUGAUGGUACCAGCAGAAAAAGCACCGGCUAACUCUGUGCCAGCAGCCGCGGUAAUACAGAGGGUGCAAGCGUUAUUCGGAAUUACUGGGCGUAAAGGGCGCGUAGGCGGUUUGAUAAGUCUGGUGUGAAAUCCCUGGACUCAAUUCAGGAAUUGCAUUGGAUACUGUCAGGCUAGAGUACAGGAGAGGAGAGUGGAAUUCCUGGUGUAGAGGUGAAAUUCGUAGAUAUCAGGAGGAACAACAGUGGCGAAGGCGACUCUCUGGACUGUAACUGACGCUGAGGCGCGAAAGCGUGGGGAGCAAA
This 388-nucleotide ribosomal RNA is filed under the name uncultured bacterium. RNAcentral's name for it is "bacterial SSU rRNA". It matches the Rfam family "Bacterial small subunit ribosomal RNA", at positions 370 to 772 of the family's 1533-position model. The record is from RNAcentral.